RNAcentral lists this ribosomal RNA (253 nucleotides) under uncultured bacterium. RNAcentral describes it as "partial 16S ribosomal RNA". It matches the Rfam family "Bacterial small subunit ribosomal RNA", at positions 524 to 776 of the family's 1533-position model. The record is from RNAcentral.
UACGUAGGUGGCAAGCGUUGUCCGGAUUUAUUGGGCGUAAAGCGAGCGCAGGCGGCUCGUUAAGUCUGAUGUGAAAGCCCCCGGCUCAACCAGGGAGGGUCAGUGGAAACUGGCGAACUUGAGUGCCGAAGAGGAGAGUGGAAUUCCCAGUGUAGCGGUGAAAUUCGUAGAUAUUGGGAGGAACACCAGUGGCGAAGGCGGCCGUCUGGACGGUAACUGACGCUGAGGCUCGAAAGCAUGGGUAGCAAACAGG